This 497-nucleotide ribosomal RNA is filed under the name uncultured bacterium. RNAcentral describes it as "partial 16S ribosomal RNA". It matches the Rfam family "Bacterial small subunit ribosomal RNA", at positions 28 to 507 of the family's 1533-position model. The record is from RNAcentral.
GAUGAACGCUGGCGGCGUGCCUAACACAUGCAAGUCGAGCGAACGGACGAGAAGCUUGCUUCUCUGAUGUUAGCGGCGGACGGGUGAGUAACACGUGGAUAACCUACCUCUAAGACUGGGAUAACUUCGGGAAACCGGAGCUACUACCGGAUAAUAUUUUGAACCGCAUGGUUCAAAAGUGAAAGACGGCCUUUCUGUCACUUAUAGAUGGAUCCGCGCUGCAUUAGCUAGUUGGUAAGGUAACGGCUUACCAAGGCAACGAUGCAUAGCCGACCUGAGAGGGUGAUCGGCCACACUGGAACUGAGACACGGUCCAGACUCCUACGGGAGGCAGCAGUAGGGAAUCUUCCGCAAUGGGCGUAAGCCUGACGGAGCAACGCCGCGUGAGUGAUGAAGGUCUUCGGAUCGUAAAACUCUGUUAUUAGGGAAGAACAUAUGUGUAAGUAACUGUGCACAUCUUGACGGUACCUAAUCAGAAAGCCACGGCUAACUACGUG